Molecule: long non-coding RNA, 1211 nt
Organism: Carassius gibelio (silver crucian carp)
Lineage: Eukaryota; Metazoa; Chordata; Actinopteri; Cypriniformes; Cyprinidae
Exons: 4
Source: RefSeq, a predicted model, not a curated record
UGAGAAGCAUGCACGCUGUAUCUCUCAGUGAACACUAGAGGUCGCUGUAUUUCUCUGCGCUGUGGCGUAUGACGCUUCACUCGCUCUACGGAUUCCUAUCUCAAUCAUCUCCAGCUGCAGGGAACAAACACCUCAACAGCUCUUUUACAGCGCAACAUUACAAACGGGUAAGAUUAAAUACGUGUCAACCACUGGGAUUCAAGAUAUUCUGUGUUUGGGCUCUGCUGUAACCCUGGAUCAUCCUGUGAAGAUUCAGCAAAUGCAUAAUGCCGCGAUCAAAUGAACUUCCUGAAGAGUUCAAAGAGAAGGAACGCGAUUUUUACCGGGGGAUCCCCUUGAAACGUAAGUGGACUAGUACUGGCUAGUUUUGAGCAGCAAUGGGGCAGGCUUUGUUGUGAAACCCUGGCAAGCCAAAGGAUUUCCAGUCAGCACCUGCAUAGAAACUUCAGCCCACUAAAGCUGGACGUUAGAGAAGAUCACAGAUUCCUUGCUGAAGUGGUUGGACACCCUAGAUCAGCCUUCAGCUCCAUCUGAAGUCAGCAAGCACUACUUAUAUUGAAUCUGAUUUCGAUCCUUUGUCAUUAAAUAGACAUAAAGUUGCCAACACAAAGGGUCUGUAAAUGCAUAAUGGUACGGUCAGGUGAAAUUUCAGAAGAUAUCAAAGAAAAGAUCAUUUCUUACCAUAAGUCUGGUAAGGGUUACAAAUCCAUUUCAAAGAUGAUGGGACUUCACAAAUCCACAAUCAGAUCCAUAAUCUGCAAAUGGAAAACACUUGGAACAGUGAUGAAUCUUCCCAGGAGCGGACGACCACCGAAAAUCUCUACAAAGGCCAAGCGUAAAAUCAUCAAGGAGGUCACGAAGAAACCCGAAAUAACGCCCAAAGAACUGCAAGCUUGUCUUGCCCUAGCUAAAGUCAAAGUUUCGGAAGUUACAAUCAGAAGAACACUGGGGAAAUUAGGCUAUGUGAGAGAGUAUGAAACUAAAAAACAAUGCAAAAAAGAAUAAGGUUCUUGAUGAGAAUAUUCAAUCCAAAAGUGUUUAAGGAAAUGUUUAAAGCCAAAAGGGGGGUUUUCUAUGUGAAAUGAAAAGGCCUACAGCAUCAUAAGUCAAACUCUUUGUUGUGUUCUGUAUACAGUGUUUUUCUUGCAAUGAAAAUUUUUUCAUAAAUAUUGUUAUUCCGAUGGAAAGAGAUAAAAUAUUUAAAAUAUAAA